This 137-nucleotide unclassified non-coding RNA is filed under the name uncultured Rozellomycota. RNAcentral's name for it is "uncultured Cryptomycota sequence contains ITS2". The record is from RNAcentral. Lineage: Eukaryota; Fungi; Rozellomycota.
UUUUCUGCAGCAAUGCGAUUUGAUCAGUGUCUUUGCUGACCUGGUUUAAACAGAGCUAGAGGAUGGUCAGUUUGGACUAGUCCGAGUGCUAAGCAUUCUUGGGUCUAGAACAGAUUGCUCAUUAAAUCUAUCUUUUU